This is a non-coding RNA of Salmo salar (Atlantic salmon), 54 nucleotides long. The record is from Rfam. Lineage: Eukaryota; Metazoa; Chordata; Actinopteri; Salmoniformes; Salmonidae.
UGUAUUCACUACUGUAAGUUGCUCUGGAUAAGAGCGUCUGCAAAAUGACUAAAA